AAACCAAGUGAUAUCCUAUACAAUUCACUCGUUUCGUUUUAUGUUUCAGAUAACUGGAUUCCCAGUGCCCAGAACCAUGGCCGCACUUAAGAAAUCCCAGGUCAGUGUAUGUGGGAUGAGUAGCUGAAAAGGCCGUAUGUGAUCGGGCCUCGCCUACCUCUUCAGUCUUCACUUCUCUGCUCCCCCUUCAUGCGCCACAGACUGCAUUUCUGUCAUCAGAGUGCUUAGCAUCUAUUUCCCUUUCACUUGCCUGGGUUCUUAACUACACCGUAAACUCCAUGGCGUGGGGCUCUCACUAGCCAAAGUAUCUUCCACGUCCAUCACAGUGCCUGGCACCAGGGUUGGGGCCCCAUAAGUGCUUUUUUGAAUGAAUGAAAGUGUUUGUGGGAGUUCAGAAGGUUCUAAGUAAAGAGGAAGAUCACAUGUGGUUGGAUGGAUUGAUAAGAAAAUGCCUCGUGAAGAGGUGCCAUCUAAGUGAACCCUUUAAAAAGGUGGAGGGUGAGAGGUGACAGUGCCUUUAGGCUCUGAGGAUAACAGAGUGGGAAGAGUUGUUAAGUGGGUAGAACUCUACUUCUCUUUCCUUCCUUUUGCCUCCCUUCCUGAGCAAUUCAGUCCCCAUGCCAUUAAAACGGAUGGAGCGAGGUGUGUCGAGGCGGCUUAGAGUGAGGAUGCAGAGCCAGAGAACGGCAAGAAGACUGUCCCCGCGGAGCCCAGCAUCUGUGCAGUCAGACGCCAAGCAGAGGUCCUUCACCAUGAACUAGAUGGAAGUGUUUUCUGGAAACCCACAGACGUUUCCAUCCUUGACUGCCUCACUGAUAUCUGAGGAUGGAUCUGAGUAAGCCUUGUGAACAGGAAAUGGUGGCUGGAGCUCUGUCAUCUUGGACCAUAAGAUAACUCUGAGAAGUUGAGGAUGGUUUGUCUUUGUGACAAGAAGGAACUUGGACUCCGGCUUCUAGGGUUUUGGUUACCACCUCUAUGAUGAUGACUUUCCAUUCGGUAUAACGAGCCCAGACAUCUGCCUUGCAUGCCAGUCUUUUAUUUCUUGCUUCGUGAUUUACAUUUCCAUCCACAGCCCCUGUCUCCAUGAAACACCAUGCCCCAGUCCUGGACUGAUGACCUUGGGAUUUAUUGAACAAGAAAGAGAAAUAAGUUUCUGUUAUUUGAGGAUUUUUCUCUUGCUCACAACUAAAUUUAAUCCCAAUAAAUACAGUUAUUCAGCC
Lynx canadensis (Canada lynx) is the source of this 1220-nucleotide long non-coding RNA. RefSeq lists it as uncharacterized. NCBI's taxonomy places the organism in Eukaryota, Metazoa, Chordata, Mammalia, Carnivora, Felidae. The record is from RefSeq and is a predicted model, not a curated record. The transcript is spliced from 3 exons.